Molecule: unclassified non-coding RNA, 249 nt
Filed under: fungal sp.
Lineage: Eukaryota; Fungi
Description: partial internal transcribed spacer region
Rfam family: Eukaryotic small subunit ribosomal RNA (bases 1-46)
Source: RNAcentral
AAGUCGUAACAAGGUAUCCGUAGGUGAACCUGCGGAUGGAUCAUUACUGAAGGUUAAACCCCGACGUACUGUGAACUGUUUUGAAUUUCAGUCAGUGGUUCUUGAGUUGUCUGUAACGGUGGUCUUUCAGACUGCCGCCAGGCAACACUACCGCUGACUGUACAUACUAUACGUAAUGCCAUUUCCCUAAACUGAAGUCUUUUUAGUAUAAACUAAAGAUAACUUUUAGCAACGGAUCUCUUGGCUCUG